Molecule: long non-coding RNA, 4103 nt
Filed under: Marmota monax (woodchuck)
Lineage: Eukaryota; Metazoa; Chordata; Mammalia; Rodentia; Sciuridae
Source: RNAcentral
GGAGCACUUGAGCAGAGAGCUGCCUGGUGCGAGGAGCCCACCUGGUGGAGGUUUGAUGGGGCCUCACCAGCAGAGGAGGACUGAAGCUCAAAGCCUCAGACUCUUCUUUCUUUGUGUACCUGCGGCUCUCUCAGAGCCAGGUCUGACCACUGCACGACUGAGCCUUACUUAGGUAAGCUCUCCCUCAGUGGGAGAGUGGCCCAGGCGCUGGUUUUUGACAAACUCCUAGAGGUUGGUGCCAGUGAGGUCAUUGCCUCUGACCCAGUUGCUACCCUGAAAAUGCCUAUGAAGGUGAAGGUACCAUGAAACUCAGGACCUUGCAGGCCUGGGUAGUGAUGAAAUCCUGGCACAGAUUCUAUGCCAACCCAAGAAAGGCCUUUCAGAACAAGAAAAAUUCUGGGAAACUUCUUGCUUUGUUUUUUACAAGAGCUCCAGAAUUUCAAUUCACAACAAAGCACAUAGAUAGCCAUUGAAUUUUCUUAAAAGGCAAAAUGGUGGAAGGGUCUGUCCCAUCUUAUCGAGAAGCUCUCUCUAUCCUAGAGUGCCCCCCACCAGAGAGAUUUAUUUCAGGUUUCACCAAAAUUCUCUAGCUCAGCAGACCUCUUUGCCUGUGGGUGUUUUGUUUUAAGACCUUACUGCUUAGCAGUGAUUUUUCUCUAUUCCACACAGCAAACAAUGCUGAGAACAUUCCUUUUUUUUUUUUUAAUAUUUUUUAGUUGUCAAUGGAUCUUUUUUUUAAAAAAAAAAAGAAAAGAAACAUUUGAAAUACCACAGUUUUAAUCGUGAAAGUCUCUAAAGACUUAUGUGUUAAAAGCUUGGUCCCAGCUUGUGAUGUCAUUGGGAGGUGAUGAAGCCUUUAGAAGGUGAGACCUUUUAUUUAUUUAUGUGCAGUGCCAGGGAUCGAACCCAGGGCCUCCCACAUGCCAGGCAAGAGCUCCACCACUGAUCCACAACUCCAGCCCCUGGUAAGAACAUUCUUAAGAACCAAUACUCUUUCAUGCCUUUUAAGCUGGUCAGCUAACAUAGGUCAGAGAACAAGGGAUGGGUUUGUUCUACCAGUUACAAACCAUAAGGUGUCUUCAGAGCCUUCUGGAUAUUCCAGAAGCACUUCCAGAAUUGUUUUAUAAUUUAGCAGACUUUGCUUAGCAUGGUAGAGAUGGCCUGCCUGUCUCCUUGUACUUCAUUUGGUUUUGAGAAUCAUCCCACUACAUACAGAUAAGCUUCUUCUAGUCCUUUGUAGUAGAACCUUGCUGCUUAUCAACAGGGGAGAGGACUUCAACCAUUUGGUUCAUUUCUUGGGGUAUUUGUUGAACAUCUACUAUGUGACAGACACUACUAUAAUCUAAGUAGAAUGGAAUAUUGACAUGUUGCCUAUGGGAGUCCAUCCAGGUUCCCACAUAAGGCUAGGGCAUGAUGUGGACAGUCACAAUUGUGUGUCCUCCCUGUUGCAGAAAGAAAUGAAUAGGAUGCAGUUUUCUUGGUGGUCUUUGUUACUAUUCCCUGAAGUCUAGUCUUCAAUUGGGGGCAGAUCAGCCCAUGACAAGGACAGUUCUUCACUUGGACCUGUGUUUUGUUCUCACCAGUUUCUCAAGAUGCCUUGGCUCCUAAUAAGCCACCGUAUGUCUGGCUGCCCUUCUCCAAGCUGGUCUGCCUGCAUUGCCAGGUGACCUCAAUAACGGCUGCCACUUUUGCAUUCAUGAGCAGAUGUUAAGUUGAGAAGCCCCUGAAUGCAGAAAUUUGAAUUUGUGAUGCAGGCAAGAUGCUUUUGCUUUUUACCUUCCCCAGCUGACAAGCAGGGUGGGAGUGGGGUUCUCCCAGCUGACCGUCCUGCAGAAGGAAGUAGGCUUUCUGGGGAGCAGGUAACUCAGGGACCAGUUGCCAAAUCCCUUGUCUUUUUUAGGUGAUCCCAGGGUGCCACUGCCAUGGCCCGAACAGCUCCUUGAGCGGAAAAUGACUCUUUCGAUCUUGCAACUGAUUUUGCAUUUUUUCCUUUAAUGGCUUCCUUGCUCCUGCAGCUAUUUCUGCUCAGAGUUCGAGACCAGCUCUUGAGUGCAGACUCAGUACGUUUGGUCAUCAGAGGGAGUUUGUUUUCUGGUCCUGUUUUGUUUAUUAAAACACCACCACUAUAAAUAUUCAUUCUGUGUUUGAGAGAAAGGUGAUGGAGGCUUUCAUUGCUUUCAUAAUAAACCACCUUCUUCUUUACCCCGGGGCUGCCAAAUAGAUAUUUUGAAAUUUUUUUUCCCUUUUGCAUACUGAAGUCUCCUUCCCGGUCUGAGGCCUUGCUCUAAUUAAGGCCUCACAGUGCUGCCCAUCUUCCCCAGUGCUGAGCAUGACGCACGGUGCCUGCCCCGAGGGCCUUACAAGCCAGUGAGACGAGAAAACAAAAGCCACCAGCUGAGAAUGUGGUUAAAUCCCAGAAGGGCAGUGCCCUUGUAAUCCGCCCCCCCAACUUUUUUUUUUCUUUGUGUCUUGAGCUAAGGAAGGAAAAAGGAGGACGUUUAGUAGGGAAAGAUUCUCUAACGCACACAUGGUGUUGGGGAAACCAUGUGGAAGAGAAUGGGGUGCUCCCCUGGGAAGCAAAAUGGGGAACCAGCACAGGCUGGAGAGGGCAGCAAGGGGGCAGGUGGGGGCGCAGGAGCUAAGAAAGAAGGAACAAAGGGAUAGUCAGGAGGCAGCAAAAAGGAGUGGCUGCUUUGCCGCACCCUGAAGCUGGUGAUGCAGGGUGAGCGGGAAAAAGCAGAGGACAGGAAAAGAAGGUUUGGAAGAGCCCCGAGUGCAGGCUGCCAGGCUGUGUAGAGACCGGGUACUGUGAUGUUCUGUCUGGUUUCGUCAUAAUGUUGACCUUGUUGCUGAAGUGUCCCACGCUGCCUGUGUGCAGAGCUUGCCGAUUGAUGCCCCUAAAGGUGAUUUAUCCUGGAGUCUAAAUUUCCAGGCCUAUGCCCAGGUUCCUGUUCUGCCUGCUGAGAAUACCAGUGCCCCCACCCCCUGUUGCUCGGCUAGAUCUGAAUUGAACUUGAAUUGAGCAGCCCUUUUACGCACGCUUUUGGUCUUCUACAAAGCACUGAUCGAAGAUCUACCCAACCAACCUGCCAUAAGCUACAGAUUUGAGGAAUUCUUUUUCUCAAAGUCACGUUGCCCACGGCAGGCACAAUGAGGUGCUUUGGGAGCCCCCAAAGCUGCCUUCUUGCUUGCUUGCUCAGCAGGAGCCUAUGCAAAUCCUGGUCCUGGUGUCCAUGGGGACUCUGGUCUCCAGGGAGGUCAGGCCUGGUGGCAUAGUAGCACUUAGUGUUGCCAUUGUCCCUGUACUCCUUGCCCAGCUCUUUGGGGAAUUCAAACCACGAAUUUCAGUUAGACCCCUUUUGUUCUCUCACUGAGAAGACUGUGGCCAGAGAAGUUCUUUCCCGAGGUCCUCUGGAGAGUUAAGGGCUUCACUCCCAGUUCUGUGCUCUUUCCGCUAAACCAAGCUGCUCUUGGGUCACAGGGGAAGCCCAGUCCCUUACCAGGGACUGUCAGACUUGCUCUGUUAAGGGUUAGAUAGUGAAUAUUUUAGGCCUUGCGGUGUCAAGAGGCUCAAUUUCAACAAAUUGAGUUAAAAGAUUGGAUUGACUUUUAUUAGCAACUCGUGAACCAGGCAGCACCCCAUCUAUAAAAAAGAGAAAGGCACACUGUCAGGCCUGGCAGAAAAAUCGGGGUUUAUAAGUAGCUUGAGCAGGAACAAGGAAACAGCAUACAACAAAAAGCGGAUUGGUUCACGCAGGGUUACUUCAGGUUAUUUUCCUUAUAAGGAUUAAAGCAGAGGGGACUUCCUUAUCAUGCCGCUAAAACUGGCCUGUUUGGGGAUUUGUCUUCUGAUUUCUCAGAAGGUCAGAUAAACAGCUUAAUACCAAUUAAGUGAUGUGAAGCUUUAGCAUGAGUGACUCCAUUAGAGUUUUGGUCUGUUGGGGUUCAGAGUAAUAGUAGUUCAUUCUAAAUCAAUGGCCUCCCAUAAAUUUUAUUUAAGGUGAUACGGCAAAACUGAGGACACUGAAUGUGUAUUUAUAUAAGAGAAAGUAAAUGUCCACAAAGUUUGUAUUGAUGAGUUUCAAAAUGUAAUAAUAUAUAAU